AUUGAACGCUGGCGGCAUGCUUUACACAUGCGAGUCGAACGGCAGCGCGGGCUUCGGCCUUGCGGCGAGUGGCGAACGGGUGAGUAAUGCAUCGGAACGUGCCCAGUAGUGGGGGAUAGCCCGGCGAAAGCCGGAUUAAUACCGCAUACGACCUGAGGGUGAAAGCGGGGGACCGAAAGGCCUCGCGCUAUUGGAGCGGCCGAUGUCGGAUUAGCUAGUUGGUGGGGUAAAGGCUUACCAAGGCGACGAUCCGUAGCUGGUCUGAGAGGACGACCAGCCACACUGGGACUGAGACACGGCCCAGACUCCUACGGGAGGCAGCAGUGGGGAAUUUUGGACAAUGGGGGCAAGCCUGAUCCAGCCAUGCCGCGUGCGGGAAGAAGGCCUUCGGGUUGUAAAGCGCUUUUGUUCGGGAAGAAGUCCUCUGGGCUAAUACCCCGGGGGGAUGACGUUACCGGAAGAAUAAGCACCGGCUAACUACGUG
RNAcentral lists this ribosomal RNA (484 nucleotides) under uncultured bacterium. RNAcentral describes it as "partial 16S ribosomal RNA". It matches the Rfam family "Bacterial small subunit ribosomal RNA", at positions 28 to 507 of the family's 1533-position model. The record is from RNAcentral.